GGUUGUCAUUUCUAAAAAAAGUUUAAACUUUAUUUUUGGGGUUUAAAUCCAAUGCACUAGUCUGCC
This 66-nucleotide ribosomal RNA is filed under the name Aphthona sp. nwb_00407. Its description in RNAcentral is "12S ribosomal RNA". Lineage: Eukaryota; Metazoa; Arthropoda; Insecta; Coleoptera; Chrysomelidae. The record is from RNAcentral.